This 404-nucleotide ribosomal RNA is filed under the name Actinomycetes bacterium. RNAcentral describes it as "Actinobacteria bacterium partial 16S ribosomal RNA". It matches the Rfam family "Bacterial small subunit ribosomal RNA", at positions 355 to 776 of the family's 1533-position model. The record is from RNAcentral. Lineage: Bacteria; Bacillati; Actinomycetota; Actinomycetes.
UGGGGAAUAUUGGACAAUGGGCGCAAGCCUGAUCCAGCCAUGCCGCGUGAGUGAUGAAGGCCAUAGGGUUGUAAAGCUCUUUCACCGGUGAAGAUAAUGACGGUAACCGGAGAAGAAGCCCCGGCUAACUUCGUGCCAGCAGCCGCGGUAAUACGAAGGGGGCUAGCGUUGUUCGGAUUUACUGGGCGUAAAGCGCACGUAGGCGGACUAUUAAGUCAGGGGUGAAAUCCCGGGGCUCAACCCCGGAACUGCCUUUGAUACUGGUAGUCUUGAGUUCGAGAGAGGUGAGUGGAAUUCCGAGUGUAGAGGUGAAAUUCGUAGAUAUUCGGGGGAACACCAGUGGCGAAGGCGGCUCACUGGCUCGAUACUGACGCUGAGGUGCGAAAGCGUGGGGAGCAAACAGG